AUUGGACUUUAUUUGCGCAGCAUAGGUGGGAGGCAUUGAGUUUAUUCUUGCGGGAAUUUAGGAGCCAUCAGUGAGAUACCACUCUGGUAAUGUUAGAUUUCUAACUUUGUAUCAUGAUCUGGUCAAAGAACAGUUUCAGGCGGGCAGUUUGACUGGGGCGGUCGCCUCCCAAAUGGUAACGGAGGCGUACAAAGGUUUCCUCUGAACGUGUAGAAAUCGUAUCUAGAGUGUAAAGGCAUAAGGAAGCUUGACUGUGAGACCUACAAGUCGAGCAGGGACGAAAGUCGGUCUUAGUGAUCUGACGGUGCUGGGUGGAAAGGCCGUCACUCAACGGAUAAAAGUUACUCUAGGGAUAACAGGCUGAA
RNAcentral lists this ribosomal RNA (365 nucleotides) under uncultured eukaryote. Its description in RNAcentral is "LSU rRNA". It matches the Rfam family "Bacterial large subunit ribosomal RNA", at positions 2122 to 2486 of the family's 2925-position model. The record is from RNAcentral.